AAUUUUACUCCUUUUCCCCAUCUCAAACAAUAAACUUAAUGGAUGGUAAGUGAAGAUUUGACAAUUACUUCUAGGAAUACUAGAGAAAUUUUGUCUUUUAUCAAUAUAUAUCUACAUAAUUCAGUCACAAACUGGCAAUUUCUGCCCUAUCUUAAAAUUAGGUAAACUUUUUUAUCAGGGUUGUUUUAAACAAAAGAAAUAAACUUUGAUUAACUUAAGUAUGUAGGCAGAAAUUAAGAAAAAAUUGAACUAAGACUCUAGGAAAGGCUUUCCUUAAGGCAGUGUAGGAUAUAGAAUAGGUGUUCUUCAGAGCAUUGUUGUUGAGAUGACUCAGCUCCAACCUUUUUUUUCUUUGUGAGUACUAUCAAGGUUCAUAUAAAGAAAAUAAAAACCCUGAGGUUCCUAGAACGUGCCCCAGUUUGGCACAAGAGGAAAGGCAAACUGUCCCAAGUGACAGAAAAAGGUCUCCUAAGAAAAAAUGAGAUGGUCAAGAGAAAUUUAGUGUUAUCAGGUGGUACUUGGGAGGUGUUAGUAAAAAAAUAAAAUAAAAUAAAGAAGAAUUUUGUUUUCAGUUUGUAAAUUUAUGAUUUAAAUUGCAAUUAUUAAUUCUCAAAGUGUGUAUGUUUUACAGUCAUUGUUUUAUUAGAAUUAUCCAUUUAAAUACAAUUACAACUUAUCUUGGGGAAAAGGAAGCAUGUAUGCCAAAGAGAAGGAUGGAUUUCACUUUCAUUUGUAGUUUAAUUUGCAUUAGUUUUAUCUUUAAUUUGCCUUCUCUUUUUAAAAGUCAGUGUAGAUAUUUUUUCAUACUGCUAAGGGAAAGCAAAUUCUCAAUCUUCUUAAUCAAGUGUGCCUAUUGCCCCAAUCAAUAUCUCACUCUGCUUCCAAUCAUUUUCACCCCACACCAUAAAAAAUUGCAUAGAAUACCCAAAAAGAAUCCUUAAGGGACUGAAAUUAUAAGGCAAAUGAAAUAAAUUGAGGUUGUAAUAAUAACAGUACUGUCAACAUCAUUAUCAUCUUUAUUAUGAGUUAGAUUUACUCAGUGCUUUCUAUGGGCCAUGUACUAGGGAUUUUACGUAAAUUAACACGUGUAAUCCUUACAACUUGCCUGACUAUAGUAACAGUUAUUAUUCUAAUUUCACAGGUGAACAAUUUGAGGCAUAAGUGAGUUCUUAAUCAGUAAGGGUUCUGGCAAUAACCAGGUGUUACAUUUAAAUAGGGUUAGCUUUUAAAAAUAAUUUAAUGAAGGCACUAUUUGCAGAAGGAAAGGCAAGAUUAAGAUAAAGGACAGGAAUGGUGAAGUAUAAAGUCCUAGCAUAGCAGAUGACUAUUGCCUUUGGGAGCAGAAGGGGAAUGGAGAAGAAGCUCUGAUUCUUCAGACUGAGGCUACAGCAGGGGAGCUGUAACCUUAGCCAUAAGAGAAAUGCAGCCACUGCAAGUCACUGGAGGUACAAGAAUGGAGCAAAGGGGAUCAAAUAACCCUACAUUUCUCUGUUCUCACUCUUUACCCAUGUAUCCCAUAGGUGAAACCCACCUAAAAUACAAAGGACAGUGUAGCUCAGGUCUUAUAUUUCAUAUGGGUGAGCUUUCUGGGGCAUCUAAUGGGGCAUAGAUGGGUGAAGAAAGGAUAUGGCAGAAUCAGCUUAACCAGCACAUGUUUAUUACUUGACCUAAAUCAGCUGGUGAGUGUGGAAGUUGGAAUUAUGUUUGUGUUCUGAGAAACUCUCUGCCCUGGGAACCACCCCCUUAAGGACCUUAAGAUAGUUUGCACACAAAAGCAUCCCACAGACUUCUACCUGUUCCAGGAAAUGACUAGCAUAAAACAAAACAAAACAAAAAACCUCUAACUCAGUACAAUCCUUCUUUUGAAAUAUUCUAACUUGCUUGUUGAUAACUUUGCAGCGAAAUACUACCAAAUGUGCCUAAAGACCAAAGGUCACUUCCAAAAAUCUCAUCUCAAUAAAACACUUGCUGAUCAGAAAUUAUCUCAGGUUAAAAAAAAAAUUAAUACAUUUUUUUUUUUUACUCUGUAGCACUUAAUCUCUCUUCUUAUACCUUUGAAGUAGUGCCAAAGUACAGCAAAUAAGUUUACUUGCUGCAAGUUUAUGAAUAGCCUUCGUUAAUUGUGUUUCCAACUUGGUAUUGCCUUUAACAAUUUUUUCCUGCUAUGUUAUAAUACUUCUCCAGAAUAGUUCUACUACACAAUUAUUAGUUAAAAAGAGCAAAGAACAGAAUAAGGCAUGGGUACGUAUUGCACUGGUCAAUUAUGGGACCAAUUUGAACAUCAAAAUAAAUAUGAUCAGUAAUAGAUAAUCACCUAUUGAAUAAAAUAAGAAUUGAUAAAUCUAUACUGACAAUAAAAGUGAACAAGCAAAAAAGUGAAAAAAUAAAUAAGGGAAAAGGGAAACUUUUCUAGAGUAGAAUGUCUUCUAAUAGAUAUAGAAAAUAGAAGAACUUAGAUUACCAUCUUGCAGGAGAAAUAGGCUUGUUAUUUUAAGAACAGUUUAAAAACUCUCAUUUUUCUUGUAAUCUUUAAUCUUAUUAUGAGAACACGUUCUCCCUUUUAAUCUUUAUAGUUACUUUAAAAAUAUUUUCCUCUACCCAGAGUGCUAUUUUUUUGAAUCUCCUGUCCCUUUUUUCUUGUUUAUAUACUUUAAUUGUAUGCUCCAGUUAGUACCUCUACUCCUCUGCCUAGUCAGCUUUUCAAAAAACAACAUUUUUCAGGUAUGAGACUGCUGAUCCCAUACACUAUGGGGACACUCAUUUCUGAAGUGCCAGUUCAGCACUAGAGAGUAGAAAUACUGAAAUAUAUGGCAUGAAAAAUGUGAACUAUUCUAGAUUUCACCAUUUGUUAUAAUAGUGAUUCAUUGCAGUUGCUUUUGAGUUGGGAGAAACAAAUCCUCAAGGCAUUUCUUUCUCAUCCCAAUGAAUACAAAUGUAUAAAAUCCUUAAUUUGCAUACCAAUAAAAUAAUUAGAAUGAUAGGUACACAUUUAAUCAUAUAAUUGCCACCUUUUAUUUUAACAGUUUUCUGAUUUAUGUGCUUAGCAUUUAACUGGUGUUAGGUAUUUAGGGAAAUUUUUUGACUGUAUAUCUUUCAAAAACGUUUCUGACCUGUGAGAUACUGCUGUCUAAUAAAGCACUGCUGGUAGUCAUUGAUCUGGUCACACAGUUGAAAUUAAAAACACACCCACUAUUAUUCUUUAAAAGAUAAAGUUCAGAGACAUCAGUAAUGGUUAAAUAGCUCUAUUUCGUCAAGCAUGAAUUAAUUGCACAAAAGCAUGAUAAUAAUUAAUAAGCAUAAAACACUGGGUAUGUAGGAUGUUGGUUCAUGAUGUUUUAGGUUUUGGGUUUUUUGUCAUUAUUUAUAGCAGCAGUAUGAUAACUGUAAUUCUCUAAAAGUUCAUUAUGUACUUAUAAACUAUCUUAACUCAUUUUUAAAACCUUGUAAGGCAGAAAAUUAGAUAUGGCUAGAUUUCUACAAUCAGCAUACUUUGGUAUGGUUUUUUCGAAAAAUGAAAUCAAGUACUUAGGGAUGCCCUUUAAGAAAGACUAAACAUGGGCAAUAAAUUAACAUAACAUUAAGUCAUGAUAUAGGUUGUAACCUGAUUUUUAAAUAGAAAUCUUAUUAAUAAAUUAUAAAAUUUAAGAAAAUUACUGGGAAAAUCUAUGAGUAUGAGAUAAGCUUGCCCAAGUAAAAAUACCAAGUUCUUUCUAAGUCAACAAAUUACUCACCAGUUACCCUGUUUCAUUCAUCUUCUAAAAUUUGACCAUUAAAAAAUAUAUUCCAAUUGUUAUAUAUUCUAUAAACAUUCCAAAAUCAUAUUCAUAAACAUACACUUAUAUAUGGAUUAAAAUACAUCCCCAAAAUAUAUACCUGUUAAAAUUUUUACAAAAAGACUUGAAAC
RNAcentral lists this long non-coding RNA (3904 nucleotides) under Sus scrofa (pig). Its description in RNAcentral is "lncRNA (ENSSSCG00045008234.1)". The record is from RNAcentral. Lineage: Eukaryota; Metazoa; Chordata; Mammalia; Artiodactyla; Suidae.